This is a non-coding RNA of Stegodyphus mimosarum, 73 nucleotides long. NCBI's taxonomy places the organism in Eukaryota, Metazoa, Arthropoda, Arachnida, Araneae, Eresidae. The record is from Rfam.
GCCUUCGUGGUGUAGUGGUCAUCACGCUGGGCGCGUAUUCCAGAGGUCCGUGGUUCGAGUCCCGGCGAAGGCG